AAUCCCUCUCCCAGCGCUAGAUUGGCUCCAAAUUAAUUUAUUUGUGGAAAAUAAAAAAUCUUCAACCUGGGUGGCGAUUUGGAAGCAGAUUCUAGCCGUGUGUUGUCGAUUUGGAAGCAGCUUUAUGUGAUUGGCAAUGAUAUUUCUCAAUUUGUGGGGCCUCUUAUCUUGAAUCAACUUCUACAGGUUUUGGUGAUGGU
Molecule: long non-coding RNA, 200 nt
Organism: Humulus lupulus (European hop)
Lineage: Eukaryota; Viridiplantae; Streptophyta; Magnoliopsida; Rosales; Cannabaceae
Exons: 3
Source: RefSeq, a predicted model, not a curated record